GAUGAACGCUGGCGGCGUGCCUAAUACAUGCAAGUCGAGCGAACGGACGAGAAGCUUGCUUCUCUGAUGUUAGCGGCGGACGGGUGAGUAACACGUGGAUAACCUACCUAUAAGACUGGGAUAACUUCGGGAAACCGUAGCUAAUACCGGAUAAUAUUUUGAACCGCAUGGUUCAAAAGUGAAAGACGGUCUUGCUGUCACUUAUAGAUGGAUCCGCGCUGCAUUAGCUAGUUGGUAAGGUAACGGCUUACCAAGGCAACGAUGCAUAGCCGACCUGAGAGGGUGAUCGGCCACACUGGAACUGAGACACGGUCCAGACUCCUACGGGAGGCAGCAGUAGGGAAUCUUCCGCAAUGGGCGAAAGCCUGACGGAGCAACGCCGCGUGAGUGAUGAAGGUCUUCGGAUCGUAAAACUCUGUUAUUAGGGAAGAACAUAUGUGUAAGUAACUGUGCUCAUCUUGACGGUACCUAAUCAGAAAGCCACGGCUAACUACGUG
Molecule: ribosomal RNA, 497 nt
Filed under: uncultured bacterium
Lineage: Bacteria
Description: partial 16S ribosomal RNA
Rfam family: Bacterial small subunit ribosomal RNA
Source: RNAcentral